RNAcentral lists this transfer RNA (76 nucleotides) under Prevotella sp. Its description in RNAcentral is "tRNA-Pro". It matches the Rfam family "tRNA". From Rfam's summary of the family: Transfer RNA (tRNA) molecules are approximately 80 nucleotides in length. Their secondary structure includes four short double-helical elements and three loops (D, anti-codon, and T loops). RNAcentral also lists the same sequence under 4 other names. Lineage: Bacteria; Pseudomonadati; Bacteroidota; Bacteroidia; Bacteroidales; Prevotellaceae. The record is from RNAcentral.
CGGGAUGUAGCGCAGUUGGUAGCGCACUACGUUCGGGACGUAGGGGUCGCCAGUUCGAGUCCGGUCAUCCCGACCA